This 257-nucleotide ribosomal RNA is filed under the name uncultured prokaryote. RNAcentral's name for it is "partial 16S ribosomal RNA". It matches the Rfam family "Bacterial small subunit ribosomal RNA", at positions 521 to 777 of the family's 1533-position model. The record is from RNAcentral.
UAAUACGUAGGUGGCAAGCGUUAUCCGGAAUUAUUGGACGUAAAGCGCGCGCAGGCGGUUUCUUAAGUCUGAUGUGAAAGCCCACGGCCCAACCGUGGAGGGUCAUUGGAAACUGGGGAACUUGAGUGCAGAAGAGAAAAGCGGAAUUCCACGUGUAGCGGUGAAAUGCGUAGAGAUGUGGAGGAACACCAGUGGCGAGGGCGGCUUUUUGGUCUGUAACUGACGCUGAGGCGCGAAAGCGUGGGGAGCAAACAGGA